Molecule: ribosomal RNA, 301 nt
Filed under: uncultured bacterium
Lineage: Bacteria
Description: partial 16S ribosomal RNA
Rfam family: Bacterial small subunit ribosomal RNA
Source: RNAcentral
CAGUCGCCGCGGGAAUACGGAGGGGGCUAGCGUUGUUCGGAAUUACUGGGCGUAAAGCGUACGUAGGCGGCUUUGUAAGUUAGAGGUGAAAGCCUGGUGCUCAACACCAGAACUGCCUUUAAGACUGCAUCGCUUGAACGUCGGAGAGGUGAGUGGAAUUCCGAGUGUAGAGGUGAAAUUCGUAGAUAUUCGGAAGAACACCAGUGGCGAAGGCGGCUCACUGGACGACUGUUGACGCUGAGGUACGAAAGCGUGGGGAGCAAACAGGAUUAGAUACCCCUGUAGUCCCUGUCUCUUAUAA